UACGUAGGUGGCGAGCGUUGUCCGGAUUUACUGGGCGUAAAGGGCUUGUAGGCGGUCCGCUAAGUCUGGUGUGAAAUCUCCCGGCUCAACUGGGAGGGGUCAUUGGAAACUGGGGGACUUGAGUGCAGAAGAGGAGAGUGGAAUUCCACGUGUAGCGGUGAAAUGCGUAGAGAUGUGGAGGAACACCAGUGGCGAAGGCGACUCUCUGGUCUGUAACUGACGCUGAGGCGCGAAAGCGUGGGGAGCAAACAGG
Molecule: ribosomal RNA, 253 nt
Filed under: uncultured bacterium
Lineage: Bacteria
Description: partial 16S ribosomal RNA
Rfam family: Bacterial small subunit ribosomal RNA
Source: RNAcentral